This 513-nucleotide ribosomal RNA is filed under the name uncultured bacterium. RNAcentral describes it as "partial 16S ribosomal RNA". It matches the Rfam family "Bacterial small subunit ribosomal RNA", at positions 28 to 507 of the family's 1533-position model. The record is from RNAcentral.
GACGAACGCUGGCGGCGUGCUUAACACAUGCAAGUCGAACGAAAAGAGGGAAAGAGCUUGCUCUUUCCGGAAUUGAGUGGCAAACGGGUGAGUAACACGUAAACAACCUGCCUUCAGGAUGGGGACAACAGACGGAAACGACUGCUAAUACCGAAUAAGUUCCAAGAGCCGCAUGGCCCAUGGAAGAAAAGGUGGCCUCUACCUGUAAGCUAUCGCCUGAAGAGGGGUUUGCGUCUGAUUAGCCGGUUGGAGGGGUAACGGCCCACCAAGGCGACGAUCAGUAGCCGGUCUGAGAGGAUGAACGGCCACACUGGAACUGAGACACGGUCCAGACUCCUACGGGAGGCAGCAGUGGGGAAUCUUCCGCAAUGGGCGAAAGCCUGACGGAGCAACGCCGCGUGAGUGAUGACGGCCUUCGGGUUGUAAAACUCUGUGAUCCGGGACGAAAAGGCAGAGUGCGAAGAACAAACUGCAUUGACGGUACCGGAAAAGCAAGCCACGGCUAACUACGUG